GUAGGUUUUUCAGAUAACUGCUCUGCCGUCCCGGCCACCGCCUCCACGGCUCCGCGCCCCUCCGCCGCCUGGUCCACCCACCCCCGCACGCACACCACCAACGCCGCCCGCUGCCCACCAGCGCUUCGCCCCGCCAAAGCCCGCACAACCUCGCCCCACCGCUUCCGCCCAUCCACGCCUGGCCCAGAUCGCGUACCGCACCGCGCGCUCCGUCCGUCGCCCGCACCAGAUCGUCACCAUCUCGCGCGGACGGCCGGUCCGGGGACCCGGUAGCGGAUUCGAAGGUUGACCCGCUCUCUCCCCCUUGCACCACGCGACAUGGCGGCUCUCGAGCCCGAGACUCCCGCAGCUACCACCGCUAAUCGCGCAUCUGGCAGCGCACCGCGUGGCGUCAUCCUUGGGUGAAUGCUAGCACUCGAGCAGUUCGCAUGCCGACGAAGAGGCCGCCUGGAGCGAGCCCACUAAGGGCUCUGGUGGAGGUCGACGGAUUUGCUCCCAUCCUAACCACGGACUGGUUGGAUUUAAUUUGGGUUCCUAUCAAUGUCUUCAUCGUUCCCAGAUAGCAUGCACGUGUGUGGUUUGAUUGCUGAACUGAACGUAGCAGCAUCAGCAAAUGGGAGAGGGAGCAGUUCAUGUGCGGCGCUACUGUGAGCGGACAAGAGUGCACCAUUAACCAUCAGCUUUAACCUACACUGUUCUAGGAAGAACGGUGGCUGCUGUUGAGGAGGCAACGCAGAGGAGGUGGAGUAGGCCGACCCCUUCUCCUCAAUCGAGGAUGCGAUGGUGCCCUCCCGGGAUCAGCAGAAUGUGUGAUGCACCCCAGUCCCCAGCCCCGCGCGCCCAAACCUCUCGGGAUCGGCAGGGAUAGAGGCAACAACCAGAACGCCACAACCUCGAUCUUCGCGAUGGCGGCAGCGACGACCAACGAUCCAUCUUGGCACAGCGAUUGUCGACUCACCUCGGCUUAUCAAGGUUUGGCACUUUGGCCUUACAGAGACCCUCCGGCAACCCGCGACACAAUUUUGGCAUGACGUCGGCUCCAAUUAUGGCAAAGAAUUGACGCAUAAACCCAAACCCUCCCUCCCCUGUGGUGAAUCGUCUCAGCAUUGUCCUUCGAUGCAAACGCAUCAUGACAUUGACACACCGUGAGCCAGGGUUUUUGUGGACCCGCGGACCAGAGCAAAUGUGGAUUCGGAGGGAGACGUGGGUGGCUAGAUGGAAGCACGACAAUAAGGCUGCUAUGGUUUGAUCCGACAAGUCAGAUAGAAAUUAUACGGAAACAAUGUUGUUGUGAUUAUCUCUAGCCUAAGAUUGCAUUAACACAUGGGUUACCCAAAGUUAUGGUAAUGAAAAUAUAUGGGUUACGCUAA
Long non-coding RNA from Lolium perenne, 1370 nucleotides. RefSeq lists it as uncharacterized. NCBI's taxonomy places the organism in Eukaryota, Viridiplantae, Streptophyta, Magnoliopsida, Poales, Poaceae. The record is from RefSeq and is a predicted model, not a curated record.